GACUCGAUAGGCCAAUCUUUUAAAAUCGUAGCUUUAAACCCCCAAGAUCGGAUUUUUCCAUCGAGAAUUGAAGAAACAGCAUUCCAGUAGCUGGAGCUGAUGUUUUCUAGGUUUUUUCUAGGGUUCUGCUUUUGAGGAUAUUCUAGGGUUUCGUUUUACGUGUUUUCGAUCAGAUAACGACGAAAGAUUGGCUUUUUUGAACUUUGGAAGCGUAUUUCCGUAGAAAAAUCGAAGAGACAGCAAUACAGAAGCUCAAGCAACGUUUUUCUCCUUUUCUGCUUAUUUCUAGGGUUUUUAGGGUUUGUGCAGUUAUUAGUAUUUUCUAGGGUUGCUGGUUUUCGGUUGCAUACCGAUCCGAAUCGCAGGAAGAUUGGCUCUAGUUGUAGGAUUUUUUCGGGUUUUCGUUUUUAGGUUUUAGAUUGGAAAACGAUCUGAUUCGCAGUUGUUAUGUGAAAUAGGAUUUCGGUGGUGGAAUCAGUGUAAUAGGAUCAUAUAAGUUCGAAGUUGUAGUUUUUCUAUCUUUCUCGAGUUUCUCUCCGGUGUCCGCCUUUUAUUUUUUAUUUUUAGGUUUUCAGUCAUAAAACAAUCCGGAUCGUAUAUGUAAUGUUGAAAGAUUGAAAAUUUCCAUCUUAGGAAGUGUGGUUCUGCUCUGCCUGCGGUUUUUUAUUUUUAUUUUUCAUUUUUCUAGGGUUUUUUGCUUUAAGGCCUGAUCUAGGGUUUAUGUUAUCAAGUUUUUAUCAGUAAAAUGAUCUGAAUGAGAUGGAACAAUGACUGAUUCAGUUUUUUCUAGAAGCUGCCAGGUUUCCCUUUUUCUAUGUUUUAGGGUUUUCGAAUGGUCACUGAGAGUCCUUUGAAGAUGUUAUCGGAGAUGGGAAUGCGGACAAUGCUUGGAAGCAAUGAUGGAUCUUAUGGUGAAGAUUUGGGGACGGAGCUGGAAUUGUUGCUCCAAGAGCAACGGCGACAAGAGGCAAGCGACCGCGAGCGGGAGCUGAAUCUCUACAGGAGUGGUUCUGCUCCACCAACUGUUGAAGGAUCUUUAACUGCUGUUGGAAGUCUGUUUGGCCAUGGCAGUGGUGAUGCUGUGGCUGACUUCCCUGGAAGUAAAAACAGCAGCACCAAUGGAUUCUUGUCAGAAGAAGAGCUGCGGUCCGAUCCGGCCUAUUUGUCUUACUACUAUGCCCAUGUGAAACUGAACCCUCGGCUCCCACCACCGGUAUUGUCAAAGGAAGACAUGCGGUUUGCACAGCGAUUGCAGGCCGGGGGGACGGCGUACGGAGGGAUAGGAGAUAGGAGGAAGGUGAAUCGUGUGGAGGAUGGGGGCAGCAAGUCGCUGUUCUCAUUGCAACCAGGAUUUAAUUCGCAGAAAGAUGAAUCUGAGAUCGAGUCAAGGAAACCGCAGAGAUCAUCGGAGUGGUUAGAGAGGGGGGGCGAUGGGUUAAUUGGUUUGUCAGGGUUGGGACUUGGGAGCAGACAGAAGAGCCUUGCUGACAUCUUUCAGGAUGAUCUGGGGCACCAAACCCCAAUCACAGGGCAUCCAUCUCGUCCAGCAAGUCGCAAUACCUUCGAUGAUGGUGUCGAAACAUUUAGUUCUGCUGAAGCUCAGCUUUCUCAUUUACAUCACGAAAUGACGUCUGGUGCAAAUGUUCAAAGUAUGGCUGGGGUCCAAAGUAUUGGAGUGUCUGCUUCUAAUGCUUUUGCAUCUGCGUUAGGCACAUCUCUAUCGAGAAGUGCCACUCCUGAUCCUCAGCUUGUUGCUAGGGCUCCUAGUCCUCGUCUUCCACCUGUGGGAGAGAGGUAUAGUGCUACAGACAAGAAUGGUAUCAAUGGUUCAAGCUCAUUUAGUGCCUCAACUAGUAUCACCGAAUCUGCAGAUCUAGUAGCUGCUUUAUCAGGCGUGAACCUGUCAGCAAAUGGUGGGAUGGAUGAAGAAAAUAAUUUGCAGUCACAGAUUCAACAUGAAAUUGAUGAUCACCGUAAUUUCCUUUUUGAUCUGCAAGGUGUUCAGAACCACAUUAAGCAACAUUCAUACCUGAAAAAAUCUGGAUCAGGGCAUUCGCAUCUGCCUUCUAUUCCUCAGCCAGUGAAACCAUCAUAUCCUGAUUUUAGCAAAAGCAACGGAGCUUUCAUGGACCAAAACCAUUCUUCAUUCAUGGUUGAAGGGCAAGCCGACUUUCACAAGCCCACUGUUUCUUCUGUUAACUCGUAUGUAAAGGAACCUACGCCUGUUGGUACUGGUUCAGGAGGUUCUCAUUAUCAGAAUGUAGACAACAUAAAUGCAGCAUUUGCAAGCUAUGGUCUGGGUGGGUAUUCCAUCAGUCCAGCGUUGCCAUCCAUGAUGGCCAAUCAUCUCGGCACUGGAAAUUUGCCUCCUUUGUUUGAAAAUGCUGCUGCAGCAUCUGCUAUUGCGGCCCCUGGAAUGGACACUAGAGCACUGGGAGGAGGGUUGCCUACAGGAAUUAAUUUAACUGGAGCAACAGAAGUGCAAAAUCUCAAUAGAAUGGGCAAUCAUGCAGCAGCAGCAGCUCUUCAGGUGCCCCUCAUGGAUCCAUUGUAUGUUCAGUACUUGAGAUCGGCUGAAUAUGCAGCUCAGGCGGCAGCUGGCUUUAAUGAUCCUUCUAUGGAUAGGAACUAUGUGGGCAGUUCUUAUGCAGACUUACUUCAAAAAGCUUACCUUGGGGCUCUGCUUUCACCACAGAAAUCACAGUAUGGUUUACCCUAUCUCAAUAAAUCCAGUGCUUUGAAUCAUGGUUACUUUGGAAAUCCUACUUUUGGUCUUGGCAUGUCAUAUCCAGGAAGCCCCCUGUCUAGUCCUGUCAUUCCUGCAUCUCCUUUACCUGGUAGUCCUAUUAGGCACAAUGAACGGAACAUACGCUUUCCUUCCGGUAUGAGAAACUUAGCUGGAGGUGUCAUGGGUUCUUGGCAUCCAGAUGCUGGUGGUAAUUUGGAUGAAGGUUUUGCUUCGUCGCUGCUGGAGGAAUUUAAAAGCAAUAAGACCAAAUGUUUUGAACUAUCCGAGAUUGCUGGUCAUGUUGUUGAGUUCAGUGCUGACCAGUAUGGGAGCCGGUUCAUUCAGCAAAAACUUGAAACUGCCACAAUGGAAGAGAAAAACAUGGUUUUUGAAGAAAUCUUUCCUCAAGCUCUUACCUUGAUGACUGAUGUGUUUGGAAAUUAUGUUAUCCAGAAGUUUUUCGAGCAUGGAAGUGCAACCCAGAGACGAGAACUGGCCAAUCAGCUCACUGGGCAUGUAUUGACACUUAGCCUUCAAAUGUAUGGCUGUCGAGUGAUCCAGAAGGCAAUAGAAGUUGUUGAUUUGGACCAGCAGACUAAAAUGGUUCAAGAGCUUGAUGGUCAUGUCAUGCGGUGUGUACGUGAUCAAAAUGGGAACCAUGUCAUCCAAAAGUGUAUUGAAUGCAUCCCUCAAGAUGCAAUUCAUUUUAUCAUAUCCUCAUUCUAUGACCAAGUUGUGACGUUGUCCACCCAUCCAUAUGGCUGUCGUGUCAUACAGAGAGUGUUGGAGCACUGUGAUGAUCCAAAAACCCAGCGUAUCAUGAUGGAUGAGAUUUUGCAAUGCGUUUGCAUGUUGGCGCAGGACCAGUAUGGAAACUAUGUUAUUCAGCAUGUACUGGAGCGUGGAAAAUCACACGAACGUUCUUCUAUAAUCAAGAAAUUAGCUGGACAGAUAGUUCAGAUGAGCCAACAGAAAUUUGCAUCAAAUGUUGUUGAGAAGUGUUUAACUUUUGGCGGUCCUAUGGAACGUCAGAUUUUGGUAAAUGAGAUGCUUGGCUCCACUGAUGAAAAUGAGCCUCUUCAGGCAAUGAUGAAAGAUCAAUUUGCAAACUACCUGUAUUUUCAAUACCUGUUGGCUCACUUGUUUCCAUACAUAUCAUGUCAGGCAAUGAUGAAAGAUCAAUUCGCAAACUAUGUUGUACAGAAAGUCCUGGAGACUUGUGAUGACCAGCAACGUGAGCUGAUCCUUUCACGAAUAAAAGUCCACCUGAAUGCGCUGAAGAAGUACACCUAUGGAAAGCAUAUAGUGGCACGUGUAGAAAAGCUUGUUGCAGCUGGAGAACGUAGGAUCGGAGUCCAGUCUGCUUACCUGUCUUAGAUGGCUGUCUUAGAUGGCAUAGGAAAGAAAGUUGUUGUACAGCUAACCGAGCCGGUGUGAGCUCCCUUUCUCUCUUUAUGUAUCUCUCUAUCUAUUCGGACAGGUAAAAGGCUUUGAGGCUCAGAUGGUGAAUGCACCUGAUUGAUGCCCAUGCGGAGGAGAUAAAAAGUGUUUGUACAAGUUCCUGAGGGUGUGUAAAAAAGAAGAAAAAAGGAGGUAGUGAAUAUGUUAACGUGACUGUAUAAAUAUCACCAUGUCGAGAGCCGUUGGUUGUUUAGGUAAAAGCUUGAAUUUUUCCCCUUUCCUUUAUGGGAUUUUGAUUAUUUUAGUUCCUGAAAUACAUUUUUACAAUGUGGCCCACACCCUUGUUUGAGGACACAUGUUUUUGUUUCAAUCUCUAUCAAUUUCUGCAUGCUUCGUUCCAA
This is an RNA transcript of Magnolia sinica, 4530 nucleotides long. It is a transcript of the gene named pumilio homolog 2-like, with no coding region annotated. The record is from RefSeq and is a predicted model, not a curated record. NCBI's taxonomy places the organism in Eukaryota, Viridiplantae, Streptophyta, Magnoliopsida, Magnoliales, Magnoliaceae. The transcript is spliced from 10 exons.